Molecule: long non-coding RNA, 380 nt
Organism: Maniola jurtina (meadow brown)
Lineage: Eukaryota; Metazoa; Arthropoda; Insecta; Lepidoptera; Nymphalidae
Exons: 3
Source: RefSeq, a predicted model, not a curated record
CUUUCAAAGCAAUCAUUCAAAUGUUUAUGAUUUAACAGUGCCCAAUGAACGGGAGUAAUUAUAUUUUUACGGUUAUUGGAAAGCGAGUUUUUAUUAUAAAUUGUUUGAUAUGAACUUUGAAUUUGAACAUAAUAUUAUCUUGGUUUAUCGGAAACAGCAGAGUUCAAUAGACAACAUUUUCAAGAUGCACCAACAACAAAACUAACCUGCUUAUUUAUUUUGUAUCGUUAGCAUCGUCUCAACUAAACAAGUUGGCAAAAAGUGUUCACAGUUUUAUCGUUGCGGUUUCAAUAUACGAUGGAUGCCACUGCACUAUUCGAAUGCUGCACUUUAUUCCUUAAGCGACUUUUGAUCCAGCUUGGUAGUUUCGAAAAUGGAUU